RNAcentral lists this ribosomal RNA (433 nucleotides) under uncultured bacterium. RNAcentral's name for it is "partial 16S ribosomal RNA". It matches the Rfam family "Bacterial small subunit ribosomal RNA", at positions 29 to 507 of the family's 1533-position model. The record is from RNAcentral.
AACGAACGCUGGCGGCAUGCCUAACACAUGCAAGUCGAACGAGACCUUCGGGUCUAGUGGCGCACGGGUGCGUAACGCGUGGGAACCUGCCCUUAGGUUCGGAAUAACUCCCCGAAAGGGGUGCUAAUACCGGAUAAUGUCUUCGGACCAAAGAUUUAUCGCCUUUGGAUGGGCCCGCGUUGGAUUAGCUAGUUGGUAGGGUAAAAGCCUACCAAGGCGACGAUCCAUAGCUGGUCUGAGAGGAUGAUCAGCCACACUGGGACUGAGACACGGCCCAGACUCCUACGGGAGGCAGCAGUGGGGAAUAUUGGACAAGGGGCGAAAGCCUGAUCCAGCAAUGCCGCGGGAGUGAUGAAGGCCUUAGGGUUGUAAAGCUCUUUUACCCGGGAUGAUAAUGACAGUACCGGGAGAAGAAGCGCCGGCUAACUACGUG